Molecule: ribosomal RNA, 262 nt
Filed under: uncultured bacterium
Lineage: Bacteria
Description: partial 16S ribosomal RNA
Rfam family: Bacterial small subunit ribosomal RNA
Source: RNAcentral
AGCCGCGGUAAUACGUAGGGUGCAAGCGUUAAUCGGAAUUACUGGGCGUAAAGCGUGCGCAGGCGGAUAUGUAAGUUAGAAGUGAAAUCCCCGGGCUCAACCUGGGAACUGCUUUUAAGACUGCGUAUCUAGAGUUUGUCAGAGGGGGGUGGAAUUCCAAGUGUAGCAGUGAAAUGCGUAGAGAUUUGGAGGAACACCGAUGGCGAAGGCAGCCCCCUGGGAUAAAACUGACGCUCAUGCACGAAAGCGUGGGUAGCAAACA